Molecule: transfer RNA, 43 nt
Filed under: Nicrophorus hybridus
Lineage: Eukaryota; Metazoa; Arthropoda; Insecta; Coleoptera; Silphidae
Description: partial tRNA-Asn
Source: RNAcentral
AAAAAUUUAGUUAAGUUAUAACAUUAGUUUGUCAUUCUAAAUA